Molecule: unclassified non-coding RNA, 254 nt
Filed under: Hevea brasiliensis (rubber tree)
Lineage: Eukaryota; Viridiplantae; Streptophyta; Magnoliopsida; Malpighiales; Euphorbiaceae
Source: RNAcentral
GAACUAAAAUUAGCUGAAACUGUAUGAUUAUUAUGAUUUUCUGAACUUGAAAAACUCAUCCAAAUCUCUCUCCUCCUCCCUCGAUUUUUCGAUUCACCAUUUUCUUCAGGCAUUUUAUACCUACAAAUCGGACACGACCCAUGAAUCUUCAACCAUUUUUCAACACAAUCGCCAUGAAAUCUAUGCUUACAAGGCAUUUCUUUCACUAUCUCGCCGAUUUCCCAAUCAUCCAAACAGAUAGAGCACUCCCCUUU